RNAcentral lists this ribosomal RNA (487 nucleotides) under uncultured bacterium. RNAcentral describes it as "bacterial SSU rRNA". It matches the Rfam family "Bacterial small subunit ribosomal RNA", at positions 31 to 507 of the family's 1533-position model. The record is from RNAcentral.
GAACGCUGGCUACAGGCCUAACACAUGCAAGUCGAGGGGCAGCAUGGACUUAGCUUGCUAAGUCUGAUGGCGACCGGCGCACGGGUGAGUAACGCGUAUCCAACCUGCCCAUCACUUGGGGAUAACCUUGCGAAAGUAAGACUAAUACCCAAUGACGUCUCUAGAAGACAUCUGAAAGAGAUUAAAGAUUUAUCGGUGAUGGAUGGGGAUGCGUCUGAUUAGCUUGUUGGCGGGGUAACGGCCCACCAAGGCAACGAUCAGUAGGGGUUCUGAGAGGAAGGUCCCCCACAUUGGAACUGAGACACGGUCCAAACUCCUACGGGAGGCAGCAGUGAGGAAUAUUGGUCAAUGGGCGAGAGCCUGAACCAGCCAAGUAGCGUGCAGGAUGACGGCCCUAUGGGUUGUAAACUGCUUUUAUGCGGGGAUAAAGUCAACUACGUGUAGUUGUUUGCAGGUACCGCAAGAAUAAGGACCGGCUAAUUCCGUG